AAGUCGUAACAAGGUUUCCGUAGGUGAACCUGCGGAAGGAUCAUUAACACGUAUCCAACGUUAAACAACCCUGUGCACCUUCAUUCCUGCUCUCCUUGCCCGCUGAGAAAGCAAUCCCUGGUAAAUCACGCAAACAGUUUGAUUCAGGGACCUCUUUUGAUGCGGCCAUGCGAUUCGAUGCGGAGUCGUAAUUAGACUUGGUUUCUCGAAGCUCAUCAACGAGUAAAAUCGUUGAUGGGCGAUAAAGGAUAACUGCUGAGCAGAUCACUGAUCCUCACGAUCAGUGGACAAGUCUCUGGG
This 300-nucleotide unclassified non-coding RNA is filed under the name fungal sp. RNAcentral describes it as "partial contains small subunit ribosomal RNA and internal transcribed spacer 1". The stretch from base 1 to 46 matches the Rfam family "Eukaryotic small subunit ribosomal RNA", at positions 1786 to 1831 of the family's 1831-position model. Lineage: Eukaryota; Fungi. The record is from RNAcentral.